This is a small nucleolar RNA of Tachyglossus aculeatus (Australian echidna), 137 nucleotides long. Lineage: Eukaryota; Metazoa; Chordata; Mammalia; Monotremata; Tachyglossidae. The record is from RefSeq and is a predicted model, not a curated record.
CCCCUCUCAGGGUCGCACCUGGAGAGUUUCCAGUGCUCUACCAGUCUCGGAUAGGGGAGGGAGAGUCAAGCAGAGUCAAAUCAUUUCGCUUCUAGCUUGGGCAGUGGCUAGUGAGUGGAAGGCAAUCUGCUACAGGU